AAAAAAAAAAAAACCAUAUGAGACACUAAUAUUUUUGAACAUUCCAUAAUUGCCUUUUUAGACCCAUAACUAAAUAUCAAACAAUUCUAGAAUGCACCGAAAAUUUAAUAAUAAGUUUUUUACUUGGAAAAUAUAUCCAUUGUUUCUCAAAUUUAUUAAAAACUGAGAUAUAGCUUCAUGUAAAUGCAAGCUCAAACCUUAGGAAGAGUCUAGAACAAAAUUCUUAAACAAAGUGGAAUAUAUACCAAGGUACUUAAAAGCAUAAAGCACACUUAAACCGAUGCAUCACCCAUCGCUUAAAGCGC
Molecule: unclassified non-coding RNA, 305 nt
Filed under: Hevea brasiliensis (rubber tree)
Lineage: Eukaryota; Viridiplantae; Streptophyta; Magnoliopsida; Malpighiales; Euphorbiaceae
Source: RNAcentral